Molecule: ribosomal RNA, 161 nt
Filed under: uncultured soil crust cyanobacterium
Lineage: Bacteria; Bacillati; Cyanobacteriota
Description: partial 16S ribosomal RNA
Rfam family: Bacterial small subunit ribosomal RNA
Source: RNAcentral
UAACUUCGGAAAGGCAGUGGAAACUGAACAGCUAGAGUAUGGUAGGGGCAGAGGGAAUUCCUGGUGUAGCGGUGAAAUGCGUAGAGAUCAGGAAGAACAUCGGUGGCGAAGGCGCUCUGCUGGACCAUAACUGACACUCAGGGACGAAAGCUAGGGGAGCG